RNAcentral lists this ribosomal RNA (627 nucleotides) under uncultured bacterium. RNAcentral's name for it is "bacterial SSU rRNA". It matches the Rfam family "Bacterial small subunit ribosomal RNA", at positions 60 to 692 of the family's 1533-position model. The record is from RNAcentral.
AGCGAAGCACUUAAAAUGGAUUCUUCGGAUGAAGCUUUAUGUGACUGAGCGGCGGACGGGUGAGUAACGCGUGGGCAACCUGCCUUACACAGGGGGAUAACAGUUAGAAAUGACUGCUAAUACCGCAUAAGACCACAGGACUGCAUGGUCCGGUGGUAAAAACUCCGGUGGUGUAAGAUGGGCCCGCGUCUGAUUAGGUAGUUGGCGGGGUAACGGCCCACCAAGCCGACGAUCAGUAGCCGACCUGAGAGGGUGACCGGCCACAUUGGGACUGAGACACGGCCCAGACUCCUACGGGAGGCAGCAGUGGGGAAUAUUGCACAAUGGGGGAAACCCUGAUGCAGCGACGCCGCGUGAGCGAUGAAGUAUUUCGGUAUGUAAAGCUCUAUCAGCAGGGAAGAAAAUGACGGUACCUGACUAAGAAGCCCCGGCUAACUACGUGCCAGCAGCCGCGGUAAUACGUAGGGGGCAAGCGUUAUCCGGAUUUACUGGGUGUAAAGGGAGCGUAGACGGCGGUGCAAGCCAGAUGUGAAAGCCCGGGGCUCAACCCCGGGACUGCAUUUGGAACUGUGCUGCUAGAGUGUCGGAGAGGCAGGCGGAAUUCCUAGUGUAGCGGUGAAAUGCGCA